RNAcentral lists this ribosomal RNA (449 nucleotides) under uncultured bacterium. RNAcentral describes it as "partial 16S ribosomal RNA". It matches the Rfam family "Bacterial small subunit ribosomal RNA", at positions 29 to 523 of the family's 1533-position model. The record is from RNAcentral.
AGCGAACGCUGGCGGCAGGCUUAACACAUGCAAGUCGAACGGGCACUUCGGUGCUAGUGGCAGACGGGUGAGUAACGCGUGGGAACGUGCCUUUCGGUUCGGAAUAAUCCAGGGAAGCUUGGACUAAUACCGGAUACGCCCUUCGGGGGAAAGAUUUAUCGCCGAAAGAUCGGCCCGCGUCUGAUUAGCUAGUUGGUGAGGUAAAGGCUCACCAAGGCGACGAUCAGUAGCUGGUCUGAGAGGAUGAUCAGCCACAUUGGGACUGAGACACGGCCCAAACUCCUACGGGAGGCAGCAGUGGGGAAUAUUGGACAAUGGGCGCAAGCCUGAUCCAGCCAUGCCGCGUGAGUGAUGAAGGCCUUAGGGCUGUAAAGCUCUUUUGUCCGGGAAGAUAAUGACUGUACCGGAAGAAUAAGCCCCGGCUAACUUCGUGCCAGCCGCCGCAGUAA